This 4934-nucleotide long non-coding RNA is filed under the name Solanum lycopersicum (tomato). RNAcentral's name for it is "long non-coding RNA (SLYC_LNC000831)". Lineage: Eukaryota; Viridiplantae; Streptophyta; Magnoliopsida; Solanales; Solanaceae. The record is from RNAcentral.
UGAUAUAUCCACUUCCCUAGUCACUCUACUAAAGCAAAUGUCCAACAUAUUGUGUUCCUCAUCUUCAUCAAGAGAGUCCUCACUUAAAUUCACGCAAUCUUCAUCAAGAGAAUCUUCACCCAAAUCAAUUUUAUUUGACAAUAAGGUACUUGACUCAUUCUUCCUUGCAUGCACACAUUUAGGCAUAAAUACAAGAGCUCUGGACUUAAUAUGCUAUUUAGAGCAAGUGAUGAGACUUGUUUUUCUUGGAUCAAAAUCGUGGUCAUUCUCUGUUAACCUUACUUGCUUUCCGGUAGUAUUCAAAAGAAUAUCAAAUCUAUUCGAACAUAAUAGGUCGCUUGAGGCAUUACUAGUAUCUUGCCUCUUCUCACUAUCAUAAAAAUUUACAAUCGAACCCCUUUUACUGCAUGAAGAAUUAAUUUGACUAGCUAGUAGGGAAAAACUCGACUACUAGUUGAUUUUUUGUGUGUAACCAAUGUCCAGUUUUUAGUUGGACUCUCGUUUUUAACUUGCAAAACAUAAUUCCCAGAAUUUUCAGCAUCUUCAACAUCAGAUGUAUCAAUUAUUACUAAUUGAAUUAUAAAUACAUAUUUAAUGGAUUCUUUUUCAUACAAAUACAAGUAAUCGAAUUCGGUCUAAUAUAUACUCCCUCUGUUUCAAAAAAAAUUACCUAGUUUGACUUGGAACGGAGUUAAAGAAAAGAAAGAAGAUUUUUUAAUCUUGUGAUUCUAAAUUAAAGUUAUGUCAAAUGUAUCAAAAUGUCCUUUAAUCUUGUUGUCUUAAACAUGUCAUGUGGAAAGUUAAAGUUAGAGUGUUACCAAAAAAAGAAAGGAAGAUCAUUCUUUUUGAUACAAACUAAAAAGGAAAUAGGGUCAUUCUUUUUUAAACGAAGAUAGUAUAUAAAAAUUUUUUACUCUGUCCUUGCUAUCAUCUAGCUAUAUAUAAAGAGUGUUUUGGAUUAAAUAAGCCAGCGAGUUUCGAAUAUGAGAGGACAUAAAAGAAUUGGAAAUAGGAGGACUCAUAAAUAUUUGCUUUGUGUGUGUCAAAGAAAUUCAAUUUGUAUUUCACAAAUUUAGCAAUUUGAUGGCUAACAUACAAGACAAGAUUGUAAACCAAAUUGACAAAAAUAAAAAGUAAGAAGUAAAGGGUCUUUGUAUCAUGUAAUCAAACACUUGAAUUAUUAGAACAAGAACACAACUUUAUUUGGAUAUUCUCAAAAGAAAGCUAAAGAUUUUGCCCCAUAUACAUAAACACGUGUAUUUAAUUAUACCUUUUUACAACUUUAACCAUUAGACCAUUUUUGACUUGCAUGAUGAUGGAAGUAGUAGGAUAAACAUUUUGUGGUUCCACAACUUGGAUAUUGUAAUUGUGUAUGAUGGUAGCUGCCACAAUUUUCAUCUGAAUAAAUGCCAUUUCUUUCCCUAAACAAGUCCUUGGACCGGCGUUAAACGCUGGAAAUUUGAAAGAUGGCUCAUGUUUGAUUCCUCCACGUUCAGAAAUCCAUCUCUCUGGCUUGAACUCUAGACAAUCUUUCCCCCACAGAGUCUCCAUUCUCCCCAUUACAUAGAAUGGUAGAAUCAUUCUUGUUUUUGGACUAACACGAUGGCCGGUUGGAAGUAUGUCAUGAUCAAGUGGAACUUUGUGCUCUAAAGACACUGAUGGAUACAACCUAAGAGUUUCACACAAAGCACCAUGUAGAUAAAUCAAUUUUCUUGAUUCUUCUUUGGUGAAAAACUUUAGGUUUUCGUCUUCUUUUACAUGCAAUUGUUGUUGAAUCUCUUCUCGUAUCUUUUUCUCUACUAAGGGAUUCUUAGCCAAGAGGACAAAAAACCAAGUGAGAGCUGCACUUGUGGUGUCCUUUCCAGCCAACAUCAAAUUCAAGAAGGUAUCCCUUAGAAAUGUUUGCAAAGUACCCAAAUCUCCACCAUUCCAUUGAUUGUAUACUUUGAUAUACGCGUUUAAAAAUGCAAAUUCCUCCUCUUUGAUUCUACUUUUAUGCAUCAACUCUUCUUGUUUUCGCGCAAUGCAAGGAUAUAUGAAUUGAUCAAAAGCCUCACAUGCAUGCAUGAGCUUCUUCUCUUUACCAAUUCUAAGCCAUUGUUGCAACUUCCAUAGACGUUGUGGCGUUAUGUGUCUAUGUAAAAGUGCAUCAAGGGCAUCACCAAACGCCUUUUCGUAUGGCAAAUAAGGUAAGUCCAUAGACAGGCUUUUUGGAUCAUGAUCAAGUAACAACCUAGUGAUGGAAUCAAAAGUAAAUCUUUGCAAAACAUCUUGCAAAUCCAAUGUUUUGCCUUGUUUUGCAAAAGCAUCAAGAAUUGGUUUAAGCCCUUUCUCAAUUAUGUCCCACAUGGUCUUUUCUAACAACAUUUGGAACUUUGCAUGGCUCAUUAUGGACAUGGUAGUCCUCCUAUGUAGCUCCCAUAGCUCAUGAUCAACAUUGAAGAUCCCAUUACCCAACAUAUCAAAAAUCUUACGAAACUCAGGUCCUUUUGGAUAGUUUGAGAAAUUUUUACUAAAGAUAUAAUGUAUAUUUGCAGGAUCGCAAGUAAAAAACAUGUCCACAUUUGUAAAAAUAGGACCUUUAAAGUCAUAAGUACCACCAUAUUCUAUAAGAACUUCAGUCAUAUAUGCAUGACCGCGAUGAAGAUUCCCAAUAACCCCAGGCAACUCCCUAAGGAUUGGCCAAUUUGUUGGUGCUGAGGUUUUAGUCCUUCUAUAUAUGAUGAACCAUAUAGAAUAAGUAGAACAAAAAAUCAACAAGAAAAGAAGAGAAUAUUCAAGGAAAUCCAUAUUGAUACUAAUUUUGGUAGUGUAUAAUAUAUAUAUUUUUUUUAAAUGUAUACUAAUUCACUAAAAUCUAGUAGAGUUUUAUACAUGUGUUUGGUGAAUUAUGGCCACAAUUUUAAUUGGACUCCAAUUUUUAAGAGCCUAGGAUAGUUAAUUAGUUUGACAUUUAAUGUGUACACGUUGUUGUAAAUUAUUGGCAACUUUAUUUAAUUAGAAGUGACCAUUCAACUAUAUUUAUUUUUAUAUAAUAUAGUGAAGUGGGAGGAUGAUUAAGGACAAAAAUAUAAUUUUAUGCUAAUAAAAAUAUAUUAAGAAAGAUAAUAAAUAAUUCUAGAAACAUAUUUCUAUAUAUGAAGUGAAUAAUGAUCAAGGCCAAAAAUAUAAUUUUAUGCUAACAAAAAUCUACCAAGAAUAUGAUAACAAAUAAAUUAAUGCGUGUGUAUUAUUAUUAAAUGAGCUUUCAUAUAUAUUUUUUUAUAAAAAAUUCGUUUGUCUUCCUUCUAUUAAUUUGUGCGUAUAUGUGGAGUUUUAUAGAUUUGAACAUUUUAAUAUAAAAAUUUAUUGAUUUGAAAACUUUAAUUCUUCGUUUUAAUUUAUAAUUUGUUACAUAUUUGAAAAUUAUAUAAAAAAAACUUAAAAACGCAAUGUAACAAUUUAAGGUAUUUUUAGAAAAACAUAAUGAAAUUUGGUUAACUCCCUUAUUUUUAUUGAACCAAAAAAAAUGUUGCAUAUAUUGUUUGAAAAUAAUGUAAGAACUAAAAAGUAUUAUGAAUCACAGUAAAGUGACAACUAAAAAUAUGUGAGAAUCAUAUAAGUAAUUACGUUGACUUUCCUAAAAUCUCAUAAAAUAAAACAGAUGUAAUAACAUAUAUCAUUCGAAAAGACACAAAAGGUAUAUAAAUUAACAAUUUAAAAUAUUUUUUAAAAACACAUAUAAAAAAUGUAGUUCACUUUUUCAAACUUCAUUCGUAUUACACAAAUUAAAAGAAAAAAACUAACAUACAUUAAGUCUGCGCUAGCGCGAGGACUAUAUAUCUAAUAUUAUAAAAAUAAAAUAAAAACUAUCAAAGAGGUCAUUUUUUUUCUUAAAAAAAGAAUUACAAAUUGCUAACUUCUAGAAAUCAAUUUUUUUUUUUCAAAAAAAGAUCAUAAAUUUUUAAAAAUAAUAAAUAUCAAUGGUCCAGUAGGCAAUGAUAGGAAUGUAGCAUACAUCAAUAGGUGAAGCAAUAGAUAUAAAAAUAGAUGUUAUGUCUCGUAGAAAAUAAAAACUAAUCUACAAAGCUACUUGUCAAUAUUAAACAGCUAUUUACCGUAGAGUUAAUACCUCAUAUGAUCACUUAACUAUACUUUUUUUCCAUAAAGUCACUCAACUUUCAAUUUUAAUUCAAAAGUCACUCAAUUAUGUUAUUUUCUUUUAGAGAGUCACUCAAUUUUGAACUUUAGCUAAAAAGUCACUCAACUAUUAACGCUUUCCUUAGAAAGUCAAUUUAUUUUAUUGUUAUUUAAAUUAAAAUGUGUUGAUAUUAAUUAUUUAUAUAACAAGUCAAAUUUUUUAAAAAAUAAAAAAUACUAUUUAAAUCAUUUAGUGAUCCACCCACCAAACCCGAUCCAUUAGAAAAUAUAAUAUCAAUGGGUCAUAUAAUAUUUUUUAAUGGAUCGAAUUAGGUGGGUGGAUCACUAAAUAGUUUAAAUGAUAUUUUUUAAUUUUAAAAAAAAAUUGAUUUGUUAUAUAAACAAUUAAUAUCAACAAAUUUUAAUUUUAAAAAAUUAAAUAAAUUGAGUGACUUUUUGAGGGAAGAGUUAAUAGUUGAGCGACUUUUAAGUUAAAAUUCAAAGUUGAAUAACUUUCUGAGAUCUUGUUUUUUUUGGUUUUCCACUCAGUGUUCGGAGCUCACAUAAAAUUCAGAUUGCGCACUGCAUGGCCCAUACAGGGGGGCGUUUCCAAUAGGAUUUUCUCCAUACCCAGGUCUCGAACCCAAGACCUUUGAUUAAGGGUGAAACACUAUCACCAUUGCACCACAACCCAUGUUGGUAACAUGCGUUGUUUUCAUUUUCUCUUUCCCUCUUCCAUUUUAGUUGCUUUUAUUUUAAUUAGUUGUUGACACUCAAUUUUGACCCUCACCAUCAUAAAUUAAUUAACAAGCCUC